AGAACAACAAUUGUGAACAAGAAUGAAGCAAUGAUGGACAUGGACCAGGUAUUAACAUUACAAUCGACUCAGAUUACAGAAAUAUGCUAGUAAUGACAAGAGAUAGUAGAAUAGAACUUUGAGAUGCACUUUAUGAUCAAUCUACUCAUAUAUGAACUCCUUGAGGGAAUGUGAAUGGGAAGCAUGAUAAAGAAAAAGGUGUAAAUGUGCAAGUUAUUUUGCGUUGCAAGCCGUUGAGUGAGGAUGAGAUAAGAUUGCAUACACCAGUUGUGAUUUCCUGUAAUGAAGGUAGAAGAGAAGUUUCUGCUAUUCAGAACAUAGCUAAUAAGCAGAUUGACAGAACAUUUGCCUUUGAUAAGGUAUUUGGUCCAACAUCCCAACAGUAGAAUAGAACUUUGAGAUGCAC
Long non-coding RNA from Solanum lycopersicum (tomato), 406 nucleotides. RefSeq lists it as uncharacterized. Lineage: Eukaryota; Viridiplantae; Streptophyta; Magnoliopsida; Solanales; Solanaceae. The record is from RefSeq and is a predicted model, not a curated record.